This 1245-nucleotide ribosomal RNA is filed under the name Indian arecanut yellow leaf disease phytoplasma. Its description in RNAcentral is "bacterial SSU rRNA". It matches the Rfam family "Bacterial small subunit ribosomal RNA", at positions 155 to 1399 of the family's 1533-position model. The record is from RNAcentral. Lineage: Bacteria; Bacillati; Mycoplasmatota; Mollicutes; Acholeplasmatales; Acholeplasmataceae.
AACGACUGCUAAGACUGGAUAGGAAAUAAAAAGGCAUCUUUUUAUUUUUAAAAGACCUUUUUCGGAAGGUAUGCUUAAAGAGGGGCUUGCGUCACAUUAGUUAGUUGGCAGGGUAAAGGCCUACCAAGACUAUGAUGUGUAGCUGGACUGAGAGGUUGAACAGCCACAUUGGGACUGAGACACGGCCCAAACUCCUACGGGAGGCAGCAGUAGGGAAUUUUCGGCAAUGGAGGAAACUCUGACCGAGCAACGCCGCGUGAACGAUGAAGUAUUUCGGUAUGUAAAGUCCUUUUAUUGAAGAAGAAAAAAUAGUGGAAAAACUAUCUUGACGAUAUUCAAUGGAUAAGCCCCGGCAAACUAUGUGCCAGCAGCCGCGGUAAUACAUAGGGGGCGAGCGUUAUCCGGAAUUAUUGGGCGUAAAGGGUGCGUAGGCGGUUUAAUAAGUCUAUAGUUUAAUUUCAGUGCUUAACACUGUCCUGCUAUAGAAACUAUUAGACUAGAGUGAGAUAGAGGCAAGUGGAAUUCCAUGUGUAGCGGUAAAAUGCGUAAAUAUAUGGAGGAACACCAGAGGCGUAGGCGGCUUGCUGGGUCUUUACUGACGCUGAGGCACGAAAGCGUGGGGAGCAAACAGGAUUAGAUACCCUGGUAGUCCACGCCGUAAACGAUGAGUACUAAGUGUCGGGAUUACUCGGUACUGAAGUUAACACAUUAAGUACUCCGCCUGAGUAGUACGUACGCAAGUAUGAAACUUAAAGGAAUUGACGGGACUCCGUACAAGCGGUGGAUCAUGUUGUUUAAUUCGAAGAUACACGAAAAACCUUACCAGGUCUUGACAUACUCUGCAAAGCUAUAGCAAUAUAGUGGAGGUUAUCAGGGAUACAGGUGGUGCAUGGUUGUCGUCAGCUCGUGUCGUGAGAUGUUAGGUUAAGUCCUAAAACGAGCGCAACCCUUGUCAUUAGUUGCCAGCAUGUCAUGAUGGGCACUUUAAUGAGACUGCCAAUGAAAAAUUGGAGGAAGGUGAGGAUCACGUCAAAUCAUCAUGCCCCUUAUGAUCUGGGCUACAAACGUGAUACAAUGGCUGUUACAAAGAGUAGCUGAAACGCAAGUUUAUAGCCAAUCUCAUAAAAGCAGUCUCAGUUCGGAUUGAAGUCUGCAACUCGACUUCAUGAAGUUGGAAUCGCUAGUAAUCGCGAAUCAGCAUGUCGCGGUGAAUACGUUCACGGGGUUUGUACACACCGCCCGUCA